AUACACUGCAGUUGGAAAAAAUCCCACAAGCAUAGAGAAGUCUAACUUUACAAAAGAAUUAAUUUAGUAAUUAAGUUUAUAAUAGCUCUAGUUACCCCUGAAACUCACAGUCUUUAAUGAAUUUCUCUUUAGAGCAUUCCUGUGAAGCAAGGCAGUGCUUUGGGGAUGAUGUGCUGAGGAGAACUAAGACCUAGAAGGAUUAAGGUCACAUGAAUGUGAGACAUCAGGGUAUCAACUCCAGCAUGAAUCUGGGCUGUAGCACCAGGAAAAGGAGUCUAGGAGGCAGCCAAUGCUACUCUGACUCCWGGUCAUAGAGGAAGUGAUCUAUGAGAAGGGCAGUAGUCUGGAUCACGGGAGGCGCAGGUGCAAGUCUCUGCUGCAGCAUGUGCACUGGCGUGCGGUGAGCAGUGUCUAUCCCAGCAGCCACGUGACUGAAAGUCUGAACACAGCGCAGCUCCUGAUAGACAGGGAAUGCCCUUGUGAAACUCCCAGGCCUCUGCGUCCCGCACAGAAGCGUGAGUCUCGGCCAUCGCACGCUCACUUUUCCCAUGGCCUCUGUAGACUUGUGCAGUUCUACAGAGCUGCUCAUUUUGAGCUGCUUGGGAAUGCUCUGUCACUAGGGCUGCACAUCCUCACACCAUGGCUGGCUGUAAUCCUUAAUUUUCUUUGCUUUUGAGGGCUUGCAUCAGACUUUUAGACAUUAUUGAACAGAGAYGUUUGUGUUUAUCUAUCCACCUGGUGAGGGAAAGGUAAGCAAUUUUUAUGCUUUAAAUGCUUCUCA
RNAcentral lists this long non-coding RNA (781 nucleotides) under Apteryx owenii (little spotted kiwi). RNAcentral describes it as "lncRNA (ENSAOWG00000013323.1)". Lineage: Eukaryota; Metazoa; Chordata; Aves; Apterygiformes; Apterygidae. The record is from RNAcentral.